CAGCCGCCACGGUAAUACGAAGGGGGCUAGCGUUGUUCGGAUUUACUGGGCGUAAAGCGCACGUAGGCGGACUUUUAAGUCAGGGGUGAAAUCCCGGGGCUCAACCCCGGAACUGCCUUUGAUACUGGAAGUCUUGAGUAUGGUAGAGGUGAGUGGAAUUCCGAGUGUAGAGGUGAAAUUCGUAGAUAUUCGGAGGAACACCAGUGGCGAAGGCGGCUUACUGGACCAUUACUGACGCUGAGGUGCGAAAGCGUGGGGAGCAAACAGGAUUAGAGACCCGUGUAGUCCCUGUCUCUUAUAC
This 301-nucleotide ribosomal RNA is filed under the name uncultured bacterium. Its description in RNAcentral is "partial 16S ribosomal RNA". It matches the Rfam family "Bacterial small subunit ribosomal RNA", at positions 509 to 807 of the family's 1533-position model. The record is from RNAcentral.